GCCAUGUUACAGAUGCGGAAUAUUCUGUGGAUGAUGUCCUCAUCGAUGUCUGCGGAGACGAAUUCCACCUGGAUGGGCCCGUAGCACCCCGAGGUCUUCUCAGGCCAGUACUGCAUACAGAGCUGAGGUGCUGCACGAAAACAACAACAAUGAUCAUAGCUAACAUAUAAAUUUGAAGAAUUCUUCCUCUUAUCACCCGUCUUAAAUAGCAAAGGUCACUCUCCACCAUGUCCAGAGGGCUGGGAAAGGUUGCAGAGUCCUUCUAAUCCUCCAUCAGAGCCAGCCUUUCACUUGAGUUCCCUAAUCCGUGAGACGACAUCAGCAAUGGUCUGGGUGACAUUCAGCCGGGUAACGUGUGGGCAGAUGUGGUAUUUCAGCUGCCACGGAUCAUCAGGGUCUGCCCCCAGGCCGGGACGCUGCACAUCAUCUAGCCAUGGGAAAUGGGAGAGAGAAUGGGGGAAGCCCAUGCUCUGUUCCUGGUGACCCUCUGGGGCUCGGAAAUGAUUCUCAUCAAUAAGAAAUGUCCUCUAAGGUUUAGCUCAAGACUGUCCUGGUGUCCAAGUGCUGGGGUUGUGCCUCAGUGGGUACCACCACUUUGGCCCAUGUAUGCAGCUUAGCAAAAGGUAAUGGGGCUCCUGCUUGAGGCGCCCUGGGCUCAAAUCCCAGCCCUGUCACUCCCUAGCUGAGUGACUUGGUCAAAUCUCUUAGCUUCUCUGGGUUAAGUGAUGAGUGGCUGUGACUCUGAAUGUGUCUACUUAGCACAGGCGUCUGUAGCUAGUAAGUACUCCAUAAAUGUAAGCUAUAAUUAUUUGGCAGUGUGGGAGAGGGUCACUCAAAACAAGGUGGAUAAAGUGAAGGGUCUUUUUCCCUCUACUUAGCAGCCCGUAUGAAAAUUUCCCUUUAGGAUAAUAAUACCCAAAGGACUGCCCUUGUGAAAAUUCCUGGUCAGCCAGCCUGACAGAGCAGUGGGGACAGGUGCCACCUGUGAUAUGGGGACACUGUUCUGCAUGGCAGAGGAGAGAGGACUGUGGGUUGUUCUUGAGAGGGACCUAGGAGAUGGAAGAGGGAAAGUAGGAGCAUAAGGGAACCAGUGAAAGGGCUGAGGGUGAAUCAGUGUGUCAUGUGAGCCCCCCUCUCCUAAACUCCUAAAUAUUAAGCAAAUUUAUAAUAACAAACAAACACGGACAAUGCUCAGUGUGCAUGGGGGUUUCUUGUGGAAGCUGGUGAGGAACUGAGCUUUGCUCCCUUGGUGACUUACGUGGUCUCAGCUCCACUUCUAUGUGAACUGAAGGGCCAGACCAUGAGCACAUAAGCAUCGACAGUUUAUAGGAGAGCCGCCAAGAUGGUGGAGUAGAAAGACCCAGAGCUCACCUCCUCUCAUGAGCACACCAAAAUCACAACUAUCUGCAGAACCACCAUUGGUGAAAAAGACUGGAACCUACCACCAGAAGAUCUUCUGCAAUUAAAGACAUAAAGAAGGAACCACAAAGAGACAGGUAGGAGGGGCAAACUCACAACAUAGUCAAAUCCCAUACCCCUGGGUGGGUGACCCACAAACUAGAGAAUAAUUACAUUACAGAGGUUCUCUCACAGGAGUGAGAGUUCUGAGCCCCACGUUGGGCUCCCCAGCCUGGGGGUCUGGUACUGGGAAAAUGAUCCCCCAGAGCAUUUGGCUUUGAAGGCCAGUGGGACUUGAUUUUGGGAGUCCCACAGGACUGGAGGAAAUAGAGACUUCACUCUUAAAGGGUACACACAAAAUCUCACACUCGCUGGGACCCAGGGCAAAAGCAAUUUGAUAGCCUGGGCCAGACCUACCUGCUGGUCUUGGAGAGCCUCCCGGAGAGAUGGGGAUGGCUGUGGCUCACCCUGGGGCCAUAGACACUGGUGGCAGCCAUAUUUGGGAACAUUCUACCGUGUGAGCACUGCUGGUGGUGGCUGCCAUCCUGGCUCAUCAACCCCACCCAAAAGCCUAUAGGCGCAAGUGCUGGGAUGCCUCAGGCUAAGUAACUAACUGGGCAAGGACACAGCCCCACCCAUCAGCAGACAGGCUGCCUAAAGACUUCCUGAACCCACAGUCACCUCUAGAAAAGCCCCUAGACAUGGCCUGCCCACCAGAGGGCCAAGACCCAAUUCCACCUCCCAGUGGGGAGGCAUAGGCCCUUCCCUUCAGGAAGCCCUGAAGACCCAGCCCGCUUACAGUAGGCAAGAGCCUACCCUGGGACCAGCUGGGCCCUGGCCCUGUACACUAGCAGGCCAACGCAAGCUUUGAGAUACCCUAGAUCCCAUACCCAACUGUGUCAGGAAUUGCCCCCCUCCAACCUGAAAUGAGCUCAGGGAUCCCUGGGCCCUGCAGCCAGACUCCAGGAACUGGCUCUGCUUGCCUGGCACUAACCCCUGAACCUGGCUUUACCUGCCAGUGGAUCAGCAACAGCCCAAGAGUCUGCGGGACCCUGACUCCGGCCACCAGUGAGCCAGCACUAGCCCCGGGACACCCCUAGGGUUCCGCAGCCAGUGCCUUGUGACCAGGCCACACUAACUAGCAGCCAGCAGCAUCUGUACAAGGCAGAGCUUGGCAACCAACUGGGCCAGGGGCCAACCAAGCCUACCAGACUGCCCACAUACGCCGCCACAACAGAAGGACCCAUGCAGCUGUCUUAGGUGGCACCCCAAGAGCAUAUACCUUGGGUGAUGAGAGGGGAGUGCACUGCUGGGAUGCACAGGACAUCUACAGAAGGCCACUUAUGCAAGGUUGAGAAACGUAACUAACCUACCACAUAUAUAAAAAUACAAAUUGCAACUUAGACAAAAUGGGGUGGCAGAGGAACAUGUUCCAGACGAAGAAACAAGAUAAAGCCCAGAAGAAGAAUUAAGUGAAGUGGAGCUAGGCAAUAUACCCGAGAAAAAGUUCAGAGUUAUGAUCAUAAAGAUGAUCAAAGAACUCAGAAGAAGAAUGGAUGUACAGAGGGAGAAAUCAGAAGUUCAAACAAAGAGAAGAGAUGAUAACUGAACAGAGAUGAAGAAUACAAAAAAUGAAAUGAAAAAUACACUAGAAGGAAUCAAUAGUAGACUAAAUGAUAUGGGGGAAUGGAUCAGUGAGCUGGAAGACAGUAAUAGAAGACAGAGUAAUGGAAAUCAUUGCCACUGAACAGAAGAAAUAAUGAAAAGAAAUGAGGACAGUUUAAGAGACCUCUGGGACAAUAUCUAGAGCACUAAUAUUCACAUUAUAGGGGUCUCAGAAGGAGAAGAGAAAGGACCUGAGAAAAUAUUUGAAGACAUAAUAGCUAAAAACUUCCCUAACCACGGAAAGGAAACAAUCACCCAAGUCUAGGAAGUGCAGAAAGUCCCAUACAGGAUUAACCCAAAGAGGAACACAACAAGACACAUUGUAAUUAAAAUGACAAAAAGAUAAACAGAAUGACAAAAAGACAAAAUGACAAAAAGAUAAACAGAAAAAGCAGCAAGGGAAAAGUAACAACAUACAAGGGCACUCCCAUAAGGCCAUCAGUUGAUUUUUCAGCAGAAACUCUGCAGGCCAGGAGGGAGUAGCACGAUACAUUUAAAAUGAUGAAAGGGGAAAAUCUACAACCAAGAAUACUUUACCCAGCAAGGCUCUUGUUCAGAUUUGAUAGAGAAAUCCAAAGCUUUACAGAUAAGCAAAAACUAAAAGAGUUCAGCACCAUCAAACCAGCUUUGCAACAAAUGUUAAAUGAUCUCUAGGCAAAAAAGAAAAGGCCACAACUAGAAACAAGAAAAUUACAAAAUGACAAAGCUCACCAGUGAAGGCAAACAUACAGUAAAGGCAGGAAAUCACCACCACACAAAGCUAAUAGGGAGGUUAAAAGAUACAGGUAGUAAAAUCAUCUAUAUCCACAAUAAGCAGUUAAGGGAUACACAAAACAAUUAGAUAAAAUAUAUCAAAAACAGUAAUCAUGAGGGGAGGAGAGUACAAAUGUAGGGUUUUAAAAAUGCAUUUGAAAUUAAGAGGUCAUCAACUCAAAAUAAUCACAUCUCUAUAUAAAGACUGCUAUACAAAAACAUCAUGGUAAGUGUAAACCAAAAAUCUAUAAUAGAUAUACACACAAAAAAGAAAAAGAAAUCCAAACAUAACACUGAAGAUAGUCAUCAAAUCAUGAGAGAAGAGAACAAAAGAAGAAGAAAGCAGAAAAAGCCAAAUCCAAAACAAUUAACAAAACAGCAAUAAGAACAUACAUAUCAACAAUUACCUUAAAUGUAAAUGGACUAAAUGCUCCAACCAAAAGACACAGAGUGGCUGAAUGGAUACGAAAACAAGACCCAUAGAUAUGCUUCCUACAAGAGACUCACUUCAGCUCUAGAGACACAUACAGACUAAAAGUGAGGAGAUGGAAAAAAGUAUUCCAUGCAAAUGGAAAUCAAAAGAAAGAGUAGCAAUACUUACAUCAGACAAAAUAGACUUUAAAGACUAUUACAUGAUACAAAGAAGGGCACUACACAGUGAUCAAGGGAUCAAUCCAAGAAGAAGAUACAAUUGUAAAUAUAUAUGCAUCCAACAUAGGGGCACCUAAAUAUAUAAGACAAAUAUUAACAGACAUGAAAGGAGAAAUCGAUACUAACACAAUAAUUGUAGGGGACUUUAACAUCUUAACAUCCCACUUACAUCAAUGGACAGAUGAUCCAGACAGAAAAUCAAUAAGGAAACACAGGCCUUAAAUGACACAUUAGACCAAAUGAACUUAACUGAUAUAUAAAGAGCAUUCCAUCCAAAAGCAGCAGCAUACACAUUCUUUUCAAGUGCACAUGGAACAUUCUUCUGGAUAGAUCACAUGCUAGGCCACAAAACAAACCUUGGUAAAUUUCAGAAAGUUGAAAUCAUAUCAACCAUCUUUUCCGACCACAACACUAUGAAACUAGAAAUCAACUACAAGAAAAAACCUGCAAAAAAAAUACGUGGAGGCUAACCAAUAUGCUACUAAACAACCACUGGAUCACUGCAGAAAUCAAAGAGGAAAUCAAAAAAUACCUAGAGACAAAACGAAAACAUGACGAUCUAAAACCUAUGGGAUGUAGCAAAAGCGAUGCUAAGAGGGAGGUUUAUAGUGAUACAAACUUACCACAGGAAACAAGAAACAUCUCAAACAACCUAACCUUACAUCUAAAGCAACUAGGGA
Globicephala melas (long-finned pilot whale) is the source of this 5147-nucleotide long non-coding RNA. RefSeq lists it as uncharacterized. Lineage: Eukaryota; Metazoa; Chordata; Mammalia; Artiodactyla; Delphinidae. The record is from RefSeq and is a predicted model, not a curated record.